UAAUGUAGGGGUUAAAGUACAGGCCCAUUGUUAUUGGAUAUUGUUUUGAUCAUGUUAUACUUGACUUAUCUCCAUUGAAGUGUCACAAUCAUGUCCAAAUAUACACUGCAUGGAACAAUCUAACGAGUAGACCUGUUUGGGUUUUCUGUUCAUAGAAUGGACUAGCCUGAAUCGUCUAUAAUAAUACACCGAGGAAUUGAGUGAACACUGAUAACACCGCUUGCACGUCAUACGGAAUAACCCCCUUUGGGAUUAGCAGUAGGACUGUUGUUCUGUAUUGCAGAAAUAUGUAUGUUACAGAUGCUCAGCUAGACGAGCUAUCAGGCUCGAUCCCAUCGUCCCAAUACUUCACUGUCUGUCAGUCGUUGGGUGUACUAACCAAUCAGGGAGCUAUGGUCUUAGAGAUGAGAGGGAACAACUACCAGAAAGCUUUCGGGAUAGUUCUUCGAUUGUGGAAUGAGAGAACUGGAGGAACCCGAACACGUCUCCGUGCAGCCCUGAAGGACGCAGGAGCAGGGGAUCUCAUGAAGGAAUGAAAGCAAUGAUUUACAAUAUUAGGUUAAAGGCGUGUUGCAAUCGUAUAGAUCAAGACGGUUAGAAAGUACUUUUAUUGAAAAAAAACUUCCCUAGAAAAAGAUAAUUAAUGUAAAAGCAGAAAUAACAAAUGAAAUUAGGAGAUUUGUUAUAUUUUAAAGGUUCCAAUAUUCUGUGAAAGAUAAAUAUUAAACUAAUUACAGAAGGCGGCUCCAGGAUAUUUUGAUGGGGGGGGGGUAAGACGACCUGAAGAUGAUUUCAUAUUCUUCUUGAUUUAAUUCUAGGGAUAUAUGAUAAAGUUGAACGUCCUAGGCUUUCAUUUUCACAUUUUUCUUUAUAAUUCCCCUUUUCCCCCCUCUUUUUCAAUUUAUAGAGAACUACUUGAAAAGAUCAUAAGGGUCAGCGCCCCUAGCCCCCUCCCACACUGUGGAGUCUGCCUUAAUGCGAAUGGUAGCUGAAGAUGAUGGGGGGGGGAAGAACACCUAACUAGAAAUUUAAAGUAUCAAAUAUCAUAUACUUGAGGGGUGUACGUUAAAAACAUCAUUGUUAUUUUGAGUGUAACAUUUUUCAAAAAUCAUUCUCAUUAUUUUCUUCCGCAAUCAAUUUUUAUUUUCAUCCAUCGUGCCCAAGAUAACAGGGUUUCGGGGUUAACAUUCCAUAAUGAUGUGAUGAACAAUGUCACCGCAUGAAUCAUUGCCAUGAUUGAUGGCUGAGUGUGUUUUCUUAUACGUAAUGGCCUCAAAUAACAGAAAAAAAUACACAUACAAAUGAGACAUCGCUUUACAUUUUUUUUACAAGUAAAGUACUAUUUUCAUGCAAUAUUUCAUUUGCAGUAGUAAUGUCCCUCACGAUUUGUAGAUCAUGUUGAUUCUGUAAAAAGUGACCUUUUGUAUAUUUCAUUAGCAUCAUAAAAGUUAUUAGUGUUACGCUAUAUUCGAUCACUCUGUUGAAGAAUCUUUCAUCAUUGCAAUUUUUCGUCUUCUAAGCCUUAUAUAUUGGUGGGCAAUUUUCUUUUAUUCAUCUUUUUAUACCACCACUGCAUUACGUCACUGGACAUUACUUCUUCUGUAAACGUAUAUGGAUUAAAACAUAAUAUCUUAUGAGGAGAAAAAAAAAUCAUAUCAAAGGUAUAAAAUAACCGCAUGAUUAAACCUGAUAUCAACAGAGAGGUCGCAUCAUCAUUCAUUUUUAUGUUCCUUUUUUUUCAUUGCAGUUUGUAACUUAAACAUGAAUAAUUCAGUAAUUUUUUGUACUUUUGAGUUGAAUAAAAUCAACAUUUCGUAAUCAUUGUAAUAAAGGAGUUUCU
This is a long non-coding RNA of Lytechinus variegatus (green sea urchin), 1840 nucleotides long. RefSeq lists it as uncharacterized. The record is from RefSeq and is a predicted model, not a curated record. Lineage: Eukaryota; Metazoa; Echinodermata; Echinoidea; Temnopleuroida; Toxopneustidae. The transcript is spliced from 3 exons.